UGUGUAUGGAGCUCAGUAGCAGCCUGGCAGCCUCGUGGACUCUGCUGAGUGUUUUCUUACACUGGGAUUUCCCUGGCCUAGAGACUGAAAUCACAGAACCAUGGAAUCCAAGCCAGAGGGGCUUUCUCUGUCAUCUGAGAUAGUACUGAUUUUCGGCUACAUGUACUGGAGCCAGCCAGGGCCCGGGCUGUGGGGCUGACAGAGUAGGGAGCAGACUCAGAUUUUCCCACAUUUGAGUGUAUCAUUCUGUGCUGUGAUGUUUGGCCCUUUCAGCUGAUGGCUCUCAAGAGGAUGAGGAAAUGAGAAAGCCACAUACCAAGGUUCUAUUUUUGCCAGGACCUGUACCGCCACUCUACACAUGCCUCGAAUGCUAACAGUGCAUGUUCUCCUUGUGAGGGACAAGGAGUUAAUGAUUCUGUAGAAGACGGCACAUCUAAAGAAAGACCAGGUAUUCCGUAAGACUCGCUGGCUGGGAGUCACUUCAAGGCUAAGGGCUGAAAUCGGGAAUAUCUUCACACAUAUGGCUGGCACUGGGACUUUUCACCAGAAUACCUCCAGGGAGCCCUUCCCCGUGGUCCAUUCUCCCCAGCAUGGAGGCCUCGAGGUAUAUGGACUUCUAACCGACUGACUUCAAAUACAUGUGACCCAGGAGAACUAAAUGGACACAGUGAGGCCUCUUGUAUCUUGCCUUAGAGCUUAGGUGUCAUUUUAAUGGCCAAGAGUGAGUUGUUAGAGUUGAUCCCAAUUCAAGGCAAGGGGACAUAGAUAUCAUCUAUCAGUUGGAAGAGUGUCAAUUAGUGUGCAAAAAUGUUCAGAAUUCCUCAUAGCUAGUUACGUGGCUCCAACAUAACUCACAAAUGUUUUCUUACGUGCUCAGAAAGAGGAAAAUGAAACUGGGUUUGGUGAACAUAUUACAAGUAGAUACAGCAGCAUUUUUAUCAUUUAUUAAAAACCCUAUUCUAAUUUCCAGUUUUAAAUUUAUUUUUGAGGUGGGGGGAACG
Molecule: long non-coding RNA, 1001 nt
Organism: Herpailurus yagouaroundi (jaguarundi)
Lineage: Eukaryota; Metazoa; Chordata; Mammalia; Carnivora; Felidae
Exons: 4
Source: RefSeq, a predicted model, not a curated record